AAAAGUUCGUUCGGCUUUUU
This 20-nucleotide microRNA is filed under the name Bos taurus (domestic cattle). RNAcentral's name for it is "bta-miR-2284g". Lineage: Eukaryota; Metazoa; Chordata; Mammalia; Artiodactyla; Bovidae. The record is from miRBase by way of RNAcentral.